UCGAGAAUUUUUCUCAAUGGGCGCAAGCCUGAAGGAGCGACGCCGCGUGGGGGAUGAAGGGCUUCGGUCCGUAAACCCCUGUCAUCUGGGAACAAACCUCAUCCGUGAACAACGGAUGGGCUGAUAGUACCGGAAGAGGAAGGGACGGCUAACUCUGUGCCAGCAGCCGCGGUAAUACAGAGGUCCCGAGCGUUGUUCGGAUUCACUGGGCGUAAAGGGUGCGUAGGUGGCGAUGUAAGUCUGAUGUGAAAGCUCAGGGCUCAACCCUGAAAUGGCAUUGGAUACUAUGUUGCUUGAGGUUCGGAGGGGAGACUGGAAUUCUUGGUGUAGCAGUGAAAUGCGUAGAUAUCAAGAGGAACACCGGUGGCGAAGGCGAGUCUCUGGACGAAUCCUGACACUGAGGCACGAAAGCUAGGGGAGCAAACAGG
RNAcentral lists this ribosomal RNA (428 nucleotides) under uncultured bacterium. Its description in RNAcentral is "bacterial SSU rRNA". It matches the Rfam family "Bacterial small subunit ribosomal RNA", at positions 355 to 776 of the family's 1533-position model. The record is from RNAcentral.